AUGAAGCUUUCUAAGGAACAAGGAGGACUGGGGUAUAGGGAUCUCCACUCGUUUAACAUCGCAAUGCUUGCCCGACAGGUGUGGCGUCUGAUCCAAGCCCCUGACUCUCUUUGCGCUCGUGUCCUACAAGCCAAGUAUUAUCCGGACGGAGACAUUCUUUCUGCUGCAACUGCUCCUGGCAUAAGCUAUGUUUGGCGGAGCAUCCUUCAGGGAGUUGAGGUCAUUAAGGAGGGGAUGGUGUGGCGCGUUGGCAAUGGCGACAAUAUUAGGAUCUGGCAGGAUCCAUGGCUACCUUCUGGUGCGGUCAGGUACCCCAAGAACGAGGAGGGGAAGCACCCUGCUGACUAG
RNAcentral lists this ribosomal RNA (348 nucleotides) under Triticum aestivum (bread wheat). RNAcentral describes it as "partial small subunit ribosomal RNA". The record is from RNAcentral. Lineage: Eukaryota; Viridiplantae; Streptophyta; Magnoliopsida; Poales; Poaceae.